Apis florea (little honeybee) is the source of this 680-nucleotide long non-coding RNA. Lineage: Eukaryota; Metazoa; Arthropoda; Insecta; Hymenoptera; Apidae. The record is from RefSeq and is a predicted model, not a curated record.
CGAAAGAUCGGAUACGUUGGAAAUAGGAGAGGAGAUGGAUGGGGCGCGAGGGGCGAGGCUAGGGUUGGCUAGUCUGGGCGAGGUGAGGCGAAGCUUGAUAGGGUGGGUCGUGGGGAUAGCGUGAAACGUGGCGGACGAUUUGAGAGGGCCGGCGGCCGGCUGACGCUGAACCCAAGGGCUGAACCGGUGGAGUGGGGGGCGCGAAAAGCGUCGCGACGCUCCUCGGUGGCGGCACGAACUAAAAGUCCGGGCGGCACGACGCGCCAGUAUUCAGCCCGCGACCAUCGCGAGUGUACGCGUAGUGUUUCGCCUCGCCCUCGCCUCGUCUCGUUUCGCCUCGCCUCCCUUUUUCGUUCCCGAUUCGUUCCAAAAGUGAAUUUUUCUAUCGAGCGUAUACGAGUGUACACGUAUCCCGACUGGAAGAAGAAUCGAAGAAGUGGAAGAAGAAGGAAGAAGAGUGAGUGUUGACGAUGGUAAUACCGAUGUGAGAAAGGAGGAAAAGUGAGAAUAAAAGAAGAAUCGAUAAGGGGGAGGAAGAGAGUGGGAGCGGAAAUCUGGCGAAACGCGAGCGGGCGGGUGAUAUGAGUGAAUACAGGAUCUUUCGUGACGUUAAAUGAUCGAGUUACGGCUCGGUCGAAACGAAUCCCGUCGAUUAACCGGCACGCGAUACCACGCCGGGG